Molecule: long non-coding RNA, 637 nt
Organism: Pelmatolapia mariae (spotted tilapia)
Lineage: Eukaryota; Metazoa; Chordata; Actinopteri; Cichliformes; Cichlidae
Exons: 3
Source: RefSeq, a predicted model, not a curated record
GUGAAGAUGAGUCCUUCUGCAGUGGUGACAGAGGGUCAGAGAGUCACACUGACCUGCAGUACCAGCUGUCCUCUGACUGACAACACAAACUACAUUUGGUACUUGAACAGUCGACCUCUGAACAUGACAGAGACCCACAACAAACAUCUGAUCCUAGACCCAGUCAGCAGGGAGAAUAUAAGAAAUUAUUCCUGUGGUGUUCAAACUAACAAGGAUAACACCACAGCUCAAUGGCUGCCAGCAGCUGCAGGAGGUUUUGCAGCUCUCCUGUUAAUAAUAAUAAUACUUCUCACUGUGUUCUGCUGCCGGAGAAAAAAGAGGGCUUCCAGUCAUUCUCCAAAGAGUGAAAUAUCAGACAAAAAACAGCAGGUCAACCAUAAUCCCAUAUAUGAAAACUUCUCAGCUCACCACAGCAGAAUGCCUGUCAAUACACACCAACCAGCUCAUCUCUAUUCCAAUGAAGGUGAACUUUACUCGAAUCAAGGUGACCUCUACUGCAAUGAAGGUGACCUCUACUCCAAUGAAAGCGAAGUCUAUCCCAAUCAAGCUGAACUCUAUUCCAAUAAAGCUGAUCUAUACUCUAACAUCCAAUACUGAGUCACUGCUUUUUAAACAGAAAAAAUCUCAAAAAGCACCA